CCUACGGGCGGCAGCAGUGGGGAAUAUUGCACAAUGGGGGAAACCCUGAUGCAGCGACGCCGCGUGAGUGAAGAAGUAAUUCGUUAUGUAAAGCUCUAUCAGCAGGGAAGAAAAUGACGGUACCUGUGUAAGAAGCCCCGGCUAACUACGUGCCAGCAGCCGCGGUAAUACGUAGGGGGCAAGCGUUAGCCGGAUUUACUGGGUGUAAAGGGAGCGUAGACGGCAGUGCAAGUCUGGAGUGAAAGGUGGGGGCUCAACCCCCGGACUGCUCUGGAAACUGUACGGCUGGAGUGCAGGAGAGGUAAGUGGAAUUCCUAGUGUAGCGGUGAAAUGCGUAGAUAUUAGGAGGAACACCAGUGGCGAAGGCGGCUUACUGGACUGUAACUGACGUUGAGGCUCGAAAGCGUGGGGAGCAAACAGGAUUAGAUACCCCUGUAGUC
RNAcentral lists this ribosomal RNA (440 nucleotides) under uncultured bacterium. RNAcentral's name for it is "partial 16S ribosomal RNA". It matches the Rfam family "Bacterial small subunit ribosomal RNA", at positions 338 to 795 of the family's 1533-position model. The record is from RNAcentral.